Molecule: ribosomal RNA, 548 nt
Filed under: uncultured bacterium
Lineage: Bacteria
Description: bacterial SSU rRNA
Rfam family: Bacterial small subunit ribosomal RNA
Source: RNAcentral
UCGUACGGCGAUCUUCGGAUCGUACGUGGCGGACGGGCGAGUAACGCGUGGGAACCUACCCGGGAGUGGGGGAUAACCACUGGAAACGGUGGCUAAUACCGCAUAAUCCGGCCGAUGGCCGGGAAAGCCGUAAGGCGCUCUUGGAGGGGCCCGCGUCCAAUUAGCUGGUUGGUGGGGUAACGGCCUACCAAGGCGACGAUUGGUAGCUGGUCUGAGAGGAUGAUCAGCCGCACUGGGACUGAGACACGGCCCAGACGCCUACGGGCGGCAGCAGUGGGGAAUAUUGGACAAUGGGGGAAACCCUGAUCCAGCCAUGCCGCGUGGGUGAAGAAGGCCCUAGGGUCGUAAAGCCCUUUCGGCGGGGAAGAUGAUGACGGUACCCGCAGAAGAAGCCCCGGCUAACUCCGUGCCAGCAGCCGCGGUAAGACGGAGGGGGCUAGCGUUGUUCGGAAUUACUGGGCGUAAAGGGUGCGUAGGCGGCCUAUCAAGUCAGGGGUUGAAAGGCCUGGGUUCAACCUGGGAAACGGCCCUUGAAACUGGUAGGCUUG